This 293-nucleotide unclassified non-coding RNA is filed under the name uncultured fungus. RNAcentral's name for it is "partial contains small subunit ribosomal RNA, internal transcribed spacer 1, and 5.8S ribosomal RNA". The stretch from base 1 to 73 matches the Rfam family "Eukaryotic small subunit ribosomal RNA", at positions 1759 to 1831 of the family's 1831-position model. The record is from RNAcentral. Lineage: Eukaryota; Fungi.
UCAAACUUGGUCAUUUAGAGGAAGUAAAAGUCGUAACAAGGUUUCCGUAGGUGAACCUGCGGAAGGAUCAUUACUAUGAAACCGUGCCUACCCGGCCGGAUUCUCACACCAUUGUGUACCAAACUUUUGUUGCCUCGGCGGGUUGGGCGCCCACCAGCGCCCCCCCUCGCGGGAGUCGCCCGCCGCAGGACCUUUCAAACCAGUUCGUUGAUGAACGUCUGAUUUUAUUUUCUAAAAGAAAUACAACUUUCAACAAUGGAUCUCUUGGCUCUGGCAUCGAUGAAGAACGCAGC